This 119-nucleotide ribosomal RNA is filed under the name Pteropus alecto (black flying fox). Lineage: Eukaryota; Metazoa; Chordata; Mammalia; Chiroptera; Pteropodidae. The record is from RNAcentral.
GUCUACGGCCAUGCCACCCUGAACACGCCCGAUCGUAUCUGAUCUCGGAAGCUAAGCAGGGUCAGGCUUGGUUAGUACUUGGAUGGGAGACCACCUGGGAAGACCAGGUGCUGUAGGCA